Molecule: transfer RNA, 83 nt
Filed under: Candidatus Microgenomates bacterium
Lineage: Bacteria; Candidatus Microgenomatota
Description: tRNA-Leu
Rfam family: tRNA
About the family: Transfer RNA (tRNA) molecules are approximately 80 nucleotides in length. Their secondary structure includes four short double-helical elements and three loops (D, anti-codon, and T loops).
Source: RNAcentral
GCCGGGAUGGUGAAAUGGUAUACACGCAGGGUUUAGGACCCUGUGCCUGCAAAGGCGUGGAGGUUCUAGUCCUCUUCCCGGCA